GUAAGGACGCGUAGGCGGGAAGCCAAGUCUGAUGUGAAAUCCUAUGGCUAACCAUAGAACUGCAUUGGAAACUGGUUACCUAGAGUAUGGGAGGGGGAGAUGGAAUUAGUGGUGUAGGGGUAAAAUCCGUAGAUAUCACUAGGAAUACCGAAAGCGAAGGCGAUCUCCUGGAACAAUACUGACGCUAAGGCGUGAAAGCGUGGGGAGCAAACGGGAUUAGAUACCCCGGUAGUCCACGCCCUAAACGAUGUUCACUAGUCGUCGGAAUGCUAGUCAUUUCGGUGAUGCACUUAACAGAUUAAGUGAACCGCCUGGGGAGUACGGUCGCAAGAUUAAAACUCAAAGGAAUAGACGGGGACCCGCACAAGUGGUGGAGCAUGUGGUUUAAUUCGAAGAUACGCGAAGAACCUUACCUAGCCUUGACAUUGAAGAAACACUUUAGAGAUAGAGUGGUGCCCUUCGGGGAAUCUGAAAACAGGUGCUGCACGGCUGUCGUCAGCUCGUGUCGUGAGAUGUUGGGUUAAGUCCCGCAACGAGCGCAACCCUCGUCCUUAGUUGCCAGCAGGUUAAGCUGGGCACUUUAAGGAGACUGCCUUCGCAAGGAGGAGGAAGGUGAGGACGACGUCAAGUCAUCAUGGCCCUUAUGGCUAGGGCUACACACGUGCUACAAUGGGGCGUACAGAGAGUUGCGAUACCGCGAGGUGGAGCCAAUCUCAUAAAGCGUCUCUCAGUUCGGAUUGGAGUCUGCAACUCGACUCCAUGAAGCUGGAAUCACUAGUAAUCGUAGAUCAGCAAUGCUACGGUGAAUACGUU
RNAcentral lists this ribosomal RNA (813 nucleotides) under uncultured bacterium. Its description in RNAcentral is "bacterial SSU rRNA". It matches the Rfam family "Bacterial small subunit ribosomal RNA", at positions 561 to 1372 of the family's 1533-position model. The record is from RNAcentral.